RNAcentral lists this ribosomal RNA (450 nucleotides) under uncultured bacterium. RNAcentral's name for it is "partial 16S ribosomal RNA". It matches the Rfam family "Bacterial small subunit ribosomal RNA", at positions 354 to 796 of the family's 1533-position model. The record is from RNAcentral.
GUGGGGAAUCUUCCGCAAUGGACGAAAGUCUGACGGAGCAACGCCGCGUGAGUGAAGAAGGUUUUCGGAUCGUAAAGCUCUUUCGUUAGGGACGAACGUGCUCUUUGUGAAUAAUGAGGAGUAAUGACGGUACCUAAAUAAGAAGCCACGGCUAACUACGUGCCAGCAGCCGCGGUAAUACGUAGGUGGCAAGCGUUGUCCGGAAUUAUUGGGCGUAAAGCGCGCGCAGGCGGGAUAUCAAGUCUGUCUUAAAAGUGCGAGGCUCAACCUCGUGAGGGGACAGAAACUGGUAUUCUUGAGUGUCGGAGAGGAAAGUGGAAUUCCAAGUGUAGCGGUGAAAUGCGUAGAGAUUUGGAAGAACACCAGUGGCGAAGGCGACUUUCUGGACGAUGUCUGACGCUGAGGCGCGAAAGCUAGGGGAGCGAUCGGGAUUAGAUACCCCGGUAGUCC